AUCCAUCUGGCAAGUCCCAGAUAGGACGAAACGCGCGUCCUGGAU
This 45-nucleotide non-coding RNA is filed under the name Schistosoma mansoni. Lineage: Eukaryota; Metazoa; Platyhelminthes; Trematoda; Strigeidida; Schistosomatidae. The record is from RNAcentral.